AAUCAACGAAACGUUACGUUCGUAUGAAUUGUGUGUGAGUUUAUUCCUGCAACGAUACGAAGUUUUUUCGCGAAGUUAGUUAUUCACGAAUUGAGGAUGUUUCGACCAUGACCUUUUUUCCACUAAUGGAAGAGACAUUUUUCAAUAGACAGAAGCGGAUUCAAUGCAAAUUCGGGACGGUGGGGAGAACGUUAGUGUUGGGAUUGGAAUUACAUUCGGUAUUGUCGGAGCCGGUAGAAUUAGCGAUAAUUUCACUGGACAAAGAGGAUGUGACAGGAUGAUUGUUGAUAUUGGCAG
Venturia canescens is the source of this 297-nucleotide long non-coding RNA. RefSeq lists it as uncharacterized. The transcript has 3 exons. The record is from RefSeq and is a predicted model, not a curated record. NCBI's taxonomy places the organism in Eukaryota, Metazoa, Arthropoda, Insecta, Hymenoptera, Ichneumonidae.